UACGGGGGGAGCAAGCGUUAAUCGGAAUUACUGGGCGUAAAGCGUGCGCAGGCGGUUAUGCAAGACAGAUGUGAAAUCCCCGGGCUCAACCUGGGAACUGCAUUUGUGACUGCAAGGCUGGAGUGCGGCAGAGGGGGAUGGAAUUCCGCGUGUAGCAGUGAAAUGCGUAGAUAUGCGGAGGAACACCGAUGGCGAAGGCAAUCCCCUGGGCCUGCACUGACGCUCAUGCACGAAAGCGUGGGGAGCAAACAGG
Molecule: ribosomal RNA, 253 nt
Filed under: uncultured bacterium
Lineage: Bacteria
Description: partial 16S ribosomal RNA
Rfam family: Bacterial small subunit ribosomal RNA
Source: RNAcentral